GUUUGAUCCUGGCUCAGGAUGAACGCUGGCGGCGUGCCUAAUACAUGCAAGUCGAGCGAAUGGAUUAAGAGCUUGCUCUUAUGAAGUUAGCGGCGGACGGGUGAGUAACACGUGGGUAACCUGCCCAUAAGACUGGGAUAACUCCGGGAAACCGGGGCUAAUACCGGAUAACAUUUUGAACUGCAUGGUUCGAAAUUGAAAGGCGGCUUC
Molecule: ribosomal RNA, 210 nt
Filed under: Bacillus thuringiensis serovar kurstaki str. HD-1
Lineage: Bacteria; Bacillati; Bacillota; Bacilli; Caryophanales; Bacillaceae
Description: partial small subunit ribosomal RNA
Rfam family: Bacterial small subunit ribosomal RNA
Source: RNAcentral